UGCUACCACCACAACUAAAUACACCAUUUGAUAAAGAACACUAAAAUUAAGACUUACUACAACUGUAUAACUUCAUUUUUUGCUGAGGAAACUCAAGUUUCAUCAAAGUUCUAUGAUCUAAAUUACAAAGAAAUAAUUCGUGAUCACUCCACAGGGAAAGCAAAACUUCACACGUAACCACAAGUAACACAACAAUAUCAGGCUAAAAGCAAACUAAAAGGAACACGCAAUAUUACAAAUAGAAAUCACAAAAUAGAAAAAAAUUCAUAGCGAAUAAUCUCAUUUCUCAAACUAGUAAUAAAAAUUUCCUUGGAAGAACUGAUGUCCUUCUCUCAGCCAACCAACAUACAUAUGGUAAAACACAAAUGAAUUUCUGCAAAGUUGCAAUACAUAAAAUUAAAAGAAGACUUUCUCUCUCUAUCUCUAAAAUGGCUCCUGAUGUACGAUAGCUAACGUGCACCUCGGAGGUCUGACCAUGGCAAGAGGUCGGGAAAGAGGAAGGGGAAGGGGUCGAACGACAACCAAAACCACUAGUAGCAUUUGGAAGCUCAGUAGGGAAGGUAGGAACUCCACAAUGGCUCAGUUGAGCCAAAGUGGACAACCAAGUAGGACAGCUGAAAUUGAUGAGUCUCCAAAGAUUAUUCGAUCGUUGGGAAAGUUAGAUCUCACUUCACCCCACCUGAGGGGAAAGAAGGUGGGAACAAGGUCACCCCCAAGGAAAUAGUGGCUAGCCCUAAAAUUGCAGCACCAUCGAUAGGGCAACGAGAUUCAGAGUCGGCGAAACCUGUUGACAAAGGGAAAUAACAGAUCUGCUGAUAAUGGUAUGACCCUGACCUAUAUUCCACCCCAAAUCAUAGAAGGACAUCCUGUGGUUCAAUUGGAGAAGGAAGAGGUGGAUGAAGAGACUUUAAAAUGGAAGAGUGCGCUUAUAGCCUAUUUUAUCGGAGAGGUACCAGGUUAUAACACCAUGAGAAGGUUCAUUCGACAAAAUUAGAUGGCUACUGAACGUGAACUAUAUCUCCAUGAAGAGGGGUAUUAUGUGAUUAAGUUCCAGACAAUAGAGGAUCUGAAUGAGGUGUUCUAUGCUGGACCCUAUUCAAUUAAUAAUAGACCGAUCUUACUAAAAGCUUGGACGCCGGACUUUGACUUUAAUGUGGAAUUCCCUACAGAAAUUCCACUUUGGGUCAAGUUUCCAAACCUUCGAUGUAUUACAGGGGUAGCAAUUCUUUGAGCCGAAUUGUAAGCGCUAUCGGAACCCCAAUUUUCACUGAUGAAUGCACUACGUAAUAAACACGUAUCUCCAAUGGGAGAAUGCUUAUCGAGGUCAACGUUACUAGGACUCUCCCUGAGGACGUGAUUGUGAUGGAUCCUAAUGGUCGUCAAUUUACCCAAAAGGUGGUGUUUGACUGGAAACCAGAGUUUUGCCAACAAUGUCAAGUUGUUGGGCAUCAAUCUCCACCUCCCCAGCAAAAAGGAAAUAAUCAGCAACACAAACGUAGAGCACCAAGGCAGGUCACUAUGGAGUGGCAGACUAAGGGGGUUGUUGCUCCUGUGGAGCGGAGUAAACCUGGAACUAAUGGCAAAAUAGGUGAGGGUACCAACAGGCAAAUUGACCGUGAGUCUGUUCAGCCAGCUGGUGUGGUGUCUCCUAAGGGUUCAUUGGAUGUUCAACGUUUGAAAGGAAAUCGAGAAGAGGUUGGUACAUCUGUGUCAAAUACAGGAAAGAUUCCCCAAAAAUCUGAGUUGAAUUUAGCAGAUUUCCCUGUUCUCUCCUCACCUGAAAACUCUGGAAAUACGAAUCAACGACUUUGGAAUCAUGGGCAUCCCAAAACCCCCGAUAAGGGGGAGACACUAAAUAAUCAUGAUGAAUUGGUUAGUGUGGAAUGUAAGGGGUAUCAGUAAAUCGUAUAAACAAAAAGAGUUAAGAAGUUACUUCUGAAUAAAGAAGAUUAGAUUUGUUGGGCUAGUAGAAAACAAAAUUAAAUCUUCUAAAGCUAGAGCAAUUCUGGAUCAUAUGGCACAUGAUUGGGAAAUGGAAUCUAACUAUCAGAAAGCCGUGAAUGGAAGUAUAUGGGUAAUGUGGGAUCCGAAUUGGUUUGAAGUUUCUUUCCAUUAUGUUGAUGCUCAAUUCAUUCAUUGUCAUGUGAAUGAGCGACAAGGGGAUCUUAACUGUUUUGUCACAGUAGUGUAUGGAUAUAAUGAGAUUGAACACAGACAAUCCUCGUGGCAAGAACUCCAACAUAUUGCAAUUGGGAUCUCUAUUCCGUGGCUAAUCAUUGGUGAUUUUAAUGCAAUGUUAACUCUACAAGAUAGGCCUUUGGGAAUCCGAUUACUUAUGCUGAAACUAGAGCUUAUAAUGAGUGCAUUACAGGGCUUCUUUUAACUGAGUUGCAGUAGAGUGGAGCCUACUAUAAGUGGUCCAACAAGCAGAUUGGUGUUGAUAGAAUUUAUAGUAGGUUGGAUAGGGCGUUUGGGAAUCACGAGUGGAUGAAUCAAUGGGGUCAUGUGACUACGACAUAUGGUGUUCCUUUUAUUUCAGAUCAUGCCCUGAUGACAUUGUCACUAAAACCUAUGUCUGAGAUUCUAAAUGUUCCAUUUAGGUUCUUCAAUGUCUGGAAUGGACACUCAGAUUUCCUCUUUAUAGUGGAGCGAGCCUGGCAACAGAAGUUGGAUAGUGUAGCUAUGAAGAAUAUUUGGCUGAAGCUUAAAGAUCUCAAGCCCAAAUUGAAAAGCCUAAAUAAUACAGAGUUCAGAAAUAUGAGCCAAAAAAUUUUCCUAGCCAGAUAGGAACUCCAGAUAACUCAAGAACAGAUUAAUACUCAGUGUACUGACCAAUUGCUGUAAAAAGAGAAACAACUUCUCGUUAAUUUGGAGAAAUAGUCACUAGUAGAAGAAAGCACAAUAAGGCAGAAAGCUAGAGCUAAAUGGAUAAAACUUGGUGAUGCUAACACCAAGUAUUUUUCUUCUAUGGUGAAAGAUAGAACACAAAAGAAACAAAUAAUGCAUCUAUCUUCAUUAAUUUGCACUGAGCUUGCAAUGUCGAUAAAGGAUGAAAUAACUGCUUUUUACAAAUCUCUUAUGGGUUCAGCUGCCUCUUUUUUAGCUACAGUACAUAAAAGCACCAUGAAAAGAGGUCCUACUCUCUCUCAGCAGCAAAGGAAAGACUUGUGUUCCAUUGUAAUCGAUCAGGAGGUCUGGAAUGGACUACAAGCUAUAGAUGAGGAAAAAACACCAGGUAUUAAUGGGUUUAACUCUCACUUUUUAAAAAAGGCAUGUCGUAUUCUUAAAGAGGAGGUUAUGUUUGUUGUUAAACAAUUUUUUGUGACUGGAAAAAUGUAUGGAGCUAUUAAUUGUACUAUGAUCACUCUAGUACCUAAGAAGCCUAAUCUAGCAACAGUGAAAGAAUUUUGUCCAAUUGCAUGUUGCACAAUGUUAUACAAAAUCAUUGCCAAAAUCCUUUCUUCCACAAUUCAGAACGUUUUUGCUAGUGUGAUAUGUGAAGCAUAGGCAGGGUUCAUUCCGGGUAGGAAAAUUGUUGACUAUAUUAUCCUUGCCCAUGAGCUUGUGAAAGAUUAUGGUAGAAAACAGAUCUCUCCGAGAUGCAUGAUAAAAAUUGACCUCCAAAAGGCCUACGACUCUGUAGAGUGGACGUAUUUAAAGCAAAUUAUGUUGGAACUCAAUUUUCCUGAUAGAUUUACCUCUUGGAUUAUGACUUAUGUUCAAACGGUUAACUACACAGUGAUGGUGAAUGGCGAAACAACAGAGCCAUUUGAUACUGCUAAAGGCUUGAGACAAGGUGACCCAAUCUCACCUUACCUGUUUGCAAUGGCUAUGGAGUAUCUAAGUAAGAGACUUCAUGAACUCAGGGAUAAUAAGUCUUUCCAGUUCCACCCCAGAUAUGCUAAUUUGGGAGUUACGCAUUUGAGCUUUGCAGACGAUCUCCUUCUCUUCUCAAUAGGAGAUCUCCCCUCCAUUUCUGCCCUGUAGCAAGCCUUCAAGCAAUUUUCAGAAGCCUCCGAUCUUCAAGCAAAUUUGGAGAAGAGUUCCAUGUAUUUUGGGGUUGUUACUCAGCAGGCAAAAACUACCAAUGUGCAGCAGAUUGGUAUACCCAAUGGUGAACUUCCAUUUAAAUACCUUGGGGUUCCUCUCUCAACUAGGAAGAUAUCUUUUAUCCAAUGGCAGCCUUUGAUAGAGAAGAUAGUGUCAAGAAUUACUUCCUGGACUGCAAAAAAACUAUCUUCUGCUGGCCGAACUCAGCUUGUGCAAUCUGUGUUAUUUGGUGUACAAUCAUAUUGGUCACAGUUAUUUCAAAUGCCAGUAAAGGUCCUCAAAUUGAUUAAUGCUUAUUGUAGAAGCUUUAUUUGGUCUAAACUAAUACCAUUACCAAGAAAGCCCUUGUGGCAUGGGAGAGAGUCUUCUUGCCUAGAUGUAAUGGGGGCCUAAACAUCAUUAAUAUCAUGUUAUGGAACAGAGCUGCCCAGGCAAAAGCUUUUUGGGAUUUAUCUCACAAAACAGAUAGUUUAUGGAUCAAAUGGAUCCGUGAGUUCUAUCUCAAAGAUCAGCAAUUUGACACCGUUGAGAUCCCUUAGCAAGCUUGCUGGAUAAUAAGAAAGAUAUGGGAGGCAAGGCAAGUAUGGGCAUAAGUCUAGAUUUCUCAUAGAAGUGGUAGCAUUAUCGAGGAGAUAUAUUCUCAGCUACUACCUGUACACCCCAGAGUGCCUUGGAAAGGUGUUAUAUACAAGAAUGAAGCCUGACCAAAAACAAAGUUCAUUCUAUGGCUAAAGUUACAGGGGAAGUUACUAACUACUGAUAAGUUGGCCAAAUGGGGAAUGCCGGUUGAUUUGGAAUGUGUGCUUUGUCACAAAUAUCCUGAGUCAAGAGAUCACUUAUUUCUAAGCUGUGAAUUUUCAGCCCUGAUAUGGACUAGAAUUCUUAUGUGGAUGCAUUUACAACAAUCAGGUGCUACUACUUAGGAACAGAACUUGGUGUGGAUUCUUCAGCAAUCUAAAGGUCGAACAGCGCAAGCUCACCUUUUCAGAACAAACUAUGCGGACUAUGUGUAUGCUAAAUGUAUGGAAAGAAGCCAACGGAUGUUUGAAAAGAAAACCAGAGAUUGGGGCAGCAUCGUAAGGGAGAGUCCAACACCUAGAAAAUCAAGACGUGAUCACCUCAAGGACACAGGGGCAUGCAUGGAGGACCCAUUUUGAGUAUAAACAAGGCCAUGAGUGGAAGAUUGCUUGGAGCAUUGAAGACUUGAGGACUCAUGGAUUUGGAUAACACUUAAAGGCUCACGGUUUGGCCACCUCAUUAAGGGCAUUUUGGUCACUUUACUUGGCCAAAAUGCACUCCAUGGCCACUCCGCCCAUUAAGGGUAUUGUUGUCAUUUUUGUCUUGUCUUGUAAUAAUAUAAGUAGAACAUUUUAGGUCUUUUCUCAUUAGUUUAUGAAUGAUGAAAUAUUGAAACAUUGAAAGUUCUCUCUUUGAUAGAAGAACACCUUAGUUUAGUCUUAGUUAGGGCUUUGAAUAGCCAUUAUAAUUUAGGGCUUGGAAAAGCUAUUAUAUUGACCUUUGCUUGGAAAUGGUGGAUCUUGAGGUGUGUUGGUUCCCUUGGCGGUCAUCGUAAGAGUGUGGUGUUGAUUAUUACAUUUAUUAGGGGUUAGAGUGUUGAAAUACACUUGAUUCUUAAUCUUGCAAUAAUCUUUGUCUCA
Long non-coding RNA from Capsicum annuum, 5708 nucleotides. RefSeq lists it as uncharacterized. The transcript is spliced from 2 exons. NCBI's taxonomy places the organism in Eukaryota, Viridiplantae, Streptophyta, Magnoliopsida, Solanales, Solanaceae. The record is from RefSeq and is a predicted model, not a curated record.